CUUGUAUUGGGACACCUGGAACCAUACAAGGCAGGGCAAACAAAACCUUGGCAGGACUAGAGAGAGCAGAGAUGUAAUGAGCACGUGUAACAGUACACACCAGGAACCAGACGCGCAAGUUCCCUCUGUAAAUGGCACUUUCCCCAGACAUUGAAUGGAAGGAAAAGACAGCUCAGGGGCCAGGGGCUCUUCC
Pogona vitticeps (central bearded dragon) is the source of this 193-nucleotide non-coding RNA. NCBI's taxonomy places the organism in Eukaryota, Metazoa, Chordata, Lepidosauria, Squamata, Agamidae. The record is from RefSeq and is a predicted model, not a curated record.